UGGCCUCAAAUCAGGUAGGAUUACC
RNAcentral lists this ribosomal RNA (25 nucleotides) under Lentinula edodes (shiitake mushroom). RNAcentral's name for it is "partial 28S ribosomal RNA". The record is from RNAcentral. Lineage: Eukaryota; Fungi; Basidiomycota; Agaricomycetes; Agaricales; Omphalotaceae.